Long non-coding RNA from Alligator mississippiensis (American alligator), 1194 nucleotides. RefSeq lists it as uncharacterized. NCBI's taxonomy places the organism in Eukaryota, Metazoa, Chordata, Crocodylia, Alligatoridae. The record is from RefSeq and is a predicted model, not a curated record. The transcript has 3 exons.
CCUGCGUUAUCACUCUGUGGUACCAGUGGACUCCCCUGGACAUCUCUGACCACAGCUUGCCCUGGUUUGGCCCUGCCAGGAUGCCAACGGACAGCUCCCCCCAGCCACGGUACUAAAUAUGUGGGUUUGAGUAAGUAAGUGGAUCUUGGGCUGGGAUUAUGGUUGGAAAUCUGUUUUGGGCCACCUCACAGCAUGUCCCUGUUGCACCUGGGGACUCUCCUGGUCAUCUCUGACCAGAGUCAUAGUAUCAUAGUACUUGGGGGUGGAAGGGACCUAAGCAGCUCAUCAGGUCCGACUCCCUCCCUCAGGCAGGAAUGGGUGCCAGGAUCAUAUCACCCCAGCCAAAUAUCUGCCCAGCCUCCUCUUGAAGACGCCCAAGAGACACGCUGCGUCAGCCUCCAGGUGUGAGACAGGGCUGGGCUUGCACACAACCUGAUGGUGCUCACAAAGAGGGACUCCAACCAGGACUAGACCCUGCCAGGGUUUCCCUCCAGGGCACUGUGACAGCGGCUGAGGAAAGGGACUCCAACAACAGCUCCUAACAAACACCAUUUAUUGUCUGUGCACCAGAGCUGCGGCUGAAGAGGAUCUUUCAUGGAUAUCACAUGCUUACUGCGCCUUGAGAUGAACGGACUGGAAGACGGACGGAUCUUGGUUGAGCGACUGUGUGCUGAGAUUAGUCCUCAAGAGCUCGAUGUCUUCAAAUCCCUGAGCAGUGGCCAUGGAGAGGACAGAGACGUGUCCUGUUUUCUUCAGCCACAGAAACAGACUCAGAGGAAAUCAAGAAUUGCAGCAGGGGACAUUUAGGUUCGAUAGAAGACCUUUCGCACUAUAUGAGGGUGAUUUUUUUAGGUUUUUGUGAGCAUGGAAACGGGCUACCCAGAGAGUUGUGCCAUCUCCAUGCUUGCCAAGGCGUGAGAACAGGGUCGAUGCUUGGCUGGCCGGGUUUGUAGGGGUGAUCCUGCCUCGAGCAGGGGGUGACUGGACGGCCCCGACGUCUCUUCCAGUCCCGGGUUUGAUGAUUCGGUGCCCUCUCGGUGUGCUACUAAAGGGACAGGAGCAGCAGCAUAAGAAGAUCAGAUCAAACCCGUUUUGUCACAGAAGAGUGAAAGACAUGCUCCAUUUGUUAGAGAGGCUCCAUGGCCUCGUUUGGAAAAGGGGGGUGAAGUAGCAGAAUAAAAAGUCAUUUGGGGA